CAUUUGUAACAUCUGUAAAGGAAGGCAAUAUGCUGCAUUAAAAAACCAAACCCCCAGAGAUAUUUUGUGUGAAAAUCUCAACACAUUCUUUUAGGAGAGGUUUAUACCUGGUUUAUUUGGUGUCUGAACAAAGUGCUGAGAAGUAAAAGUUUUUCCGUCGGGAUACUUCGGAUGUGGAGGUAAUCUGGAAUCAAGCUCUGGACAACCCAUUCGUCUCAUCUGUGUGCUGACAGACUCAAUCUCUUGAACAAGUGGCACUAAUAUUGUCUCAUUGAUCCACUAGAAGAAAUAAGCCUGCUCUGCCACACCAACCUUCCAAAAGACUACUUGAAAAGAGACAGCUAUAAUUUGAUCAGUCCACAAUGAAACUGCUACACACAGCACUAAAAACACAGCAAGUGAACAGAAUCACCCCGAAAAAGACAAAUCACAUGUAAUUCAAAGGAGGCUCCAAGUCAAUCAAGAGAGGCGGAACGCCUAGCCACAUCCCCCUUGGCUGAACCCAGGACAGAUCAGCAGGCGCGGAACUCCCACAACCCGCGUAGAUUCCAAGACAGGAAGCACAAACACGACCC
Homo sapiens (human) is the source of this 575-nucleotide long non-coding RNA. NCBI's taxonomy places the organism in Eukaryota, Metazoa, Chordata, Mammalia, Primates, Hominidae. The record is from Ensembl.